UUCCAUCGCUAAGUCAAGGCCUCUUCCUGCGACUUCGGUCGUGCAUGACUCCGGUCGUGCUUGUUUCAAUGGAAUUCCGUCUGUUACAGCUUUGGUAUAUUAACACUGGCCCGCACCGAAUUUCGUUAUGAACCUAGGUUGACUUGCUUUCGUCUUGAAAGCCUGUCGCAAGGGCCAGCUGUGUUUUGUUUUUGAGUAGAAGUCUGCUUCUGCCUUUUUUUGGUGGCAUUGUGGCAGAAUUUCUUAGUAACAUCCCACACAUUC
This 264-nucleotide small nucleolar RNA is filed under the name Penicillium vulpinum. RNAcentral's name for it is "Small nucleolar RNA snR191". It matches the Rfam family "Small nucleolar RNA snR191". Lineage: Eukaryota; Fungi; Ascomycota; Eurotiomycetes; Eurotiales; Aspergillaceae. The record is from Rfam by way of RNAcentral.